AGGUCCUAUGUGCGAUGAAGAUUCUACGGAAAGAUGAAAUCUGGGAGGAAGAACCAGAAUUUAAGGGUGUGGAGGCGCGGCCAUUCGAGAUGUCCUUCUUGGAGCGGCAUCCCCCUCACGUGCUCCUUGUCGGGGCUACGGGAGCCGUUGCCGCAUCCAGCGUUGCUUGUGUGGUGGGCUACUGCGUAUGGAAAGCAGUCACCGCCAUGCGGAGCUCAUAGACCAUCCAGCUGAGAAGCAUUCUCAAAUGCGUACGGGUUCUUCCUCAGAAGGGCCUUAUCCACAGAUGGCGAAUUCACCGCUGAAUAUGCACUACCGCAGAGCAUUAGACCUCAGCAAUAGUACGCACGUCACCGCAACAGUCUAUUAAUAAGGCUCUCAAAAGUACUCUCUUGUUCGAGUCAGAUUUGCGAUGCCACUCUGACGUCAGAGGCGCAUGGAUGGAUACGAGGUGGCGUCUAACGUGCGACGGGUCUGACGUAGCUUCUCAUGCUGCUGAAAUUUCGAGGUACCGGUAAAAGAGUUCUUCGACGUGGUUGCUGGUACCGCUGACGGCGUACCAGACCUAGUGCAGCGUCGCCCCGCGUGAAAGAGAAGGCUCGACCACACGCUUGCCGGUUUACUACCCUACGCAAAUGACGCCACUGACAAAAUCUCAAAGCUGCUUCCGAAAAGACGCCUUGUUCUUCGUGGAACAGAGGGUACGAAAAUUUGGCUUUGCUAGAACCACGGAGUUAACGCGGAGCCAUUUUCUCCUGGAGCACUGCGAACCGGUUGUGCGCAAAAGUGGUGGUGCCAGUAGAGUAGGCAUCGCUUUGGCAUUCCAUGUCCGACCAUGCUAUAACUUUUUUAUUAAUAUUGUAUUUUUCAUAUGCUAAUUGCGCAUUAAGGUGCACGUCAUGUUUCAUCGCUUUGUAUUGCAAAGAUUGCUUACCUUCCAUAUCAUUUGUUGAUGAAAUAAAUGUUUUAUUUUUCAAA
Long non-coding RNA from Rhipicephalus microplus (southern cattle tick), 978 nucleotides. The record is from RefSeq and is a predicted model, not a curated record. NCBI's taxonomy places the organism in Eukaryota, Metazoa, Arthropoda, Arachnida, Ixodida, Ixodidae.